RNAcentral lists this small RNA (798 nucleotides) under uncultured Glomus. Its description in RNAcentral is "SSU rRNA". It matches the Rfam family "Eukaryotic small subunit ribosomal RNA", at positions 314 to 1114 of the family's 1831-position model. The record is from RNAcentral. Lineage: Eukaryota; Fungi; Glomeromycota; Glomeromycetes; Glomerales; Glomeraceae.
AUCAACUUUCGAUGGUAGGAUAGAGGCCUACCAUGGUGGUAACGGGUAACGGGGUGUUAGGGCACGACACCGGAGAGGGAGCCUGAGAAACGGCUACCACAUCCAAGGAUGGCAGCAGGCGCGCAAAUUACCCAAUCCCGACACGGGGAGGUAGUGACAAUAAAUAACAAUACGGGGUUCUUACGGAUCUCGUAAUUGGAAUGAGUACAAUUUAAAUCUCUUAACGAGGAACAAUUGGAGGGCAAGUCUGGUGCCAGCAGCCGCGGUAAUUCCAGCUCCAAUAGCGUAUAUUAAAGUUGUUGCAGUUAAAAAGCUCGUAGUUGAAUUUCGGGAUCAAUAUGUCGGUCGUGCCUCGGUACGUACUGGCAUCAUUGGUUUCUCCCUUCUGAUGAACCAUGAUGCCAUUAAUUUGGUGUCGUGGGGAAUCAGGACUGUUACUUUGAAAAAAUUAGAGUGUUUAAAGCAGGCUCACGCUUGAAUACAUUAGCAUGGAAUAAUGAAAUAGGACGUUUGAUUCUAUUUUGUUGGUUUCUAGGAUCGACGUAAUGAUUAAUAGGGAUAGUUGGGGGCAUUAGUAUUCAAUUGUCAGAGGUGAAAUUCUUGGAUUUAUUGAAGACUAACUACUGCGAAAGCAUUUGCCAAGGAUGUUUUCAUUAAUCAAGAACGAAAGUUAGGGGAUCGAAGACGAUCAGAUACCGUCGUAGUCUUAACCAUAAACUAUGCCGACUAGGGAUCGGAUGAUGUUAAUUUUUUAAUGACUCAUUCGGCGCCUUACGGGAAACCAAAGUGUUUGGGUUC